RNAcentral lists this ribosomal RNA (320 nucleotides) under uncultured eukaryote. RNAcentral's name for it is "partial 18S ribosomal RNA". It matches the Rfam family "Eukaryotic small subunit ribosomal RNA", at positions 1470 to 1796 of the family's 1831-position model. The record is from RNAcentral.
CCCUUAGAUGUUCUGGGCUGCACGCGUGUUACAAUCGGGAGUACAACAAGAUUGCAAAUCCUAGUGGAUGAGUGGUUCUUCGAAAUUUUCUGAAGACUGGGAUAGUUGAUUGAAAUUAUUCAACUCGAACGAGGAAUUCCUUGUAAUUGUAAUUCAUUAUAUUGUAAUGAAUACGUCCCUGCCCUUUGUACGCACCGCCCGUCGCUCCUACCGAUUGAACGAUCCGGUGAAUUAUUUGGAGUAGCUCUGGAAGUUGCAGAACUUCCUAUGUCACGAAAUUUUGUAAACCUUAUCGUUUAGAGGAAGGAAAAGUCGUAACA